CAUCAACAGGUGUUCAAGCACCGACAGCAAAGCUAGAGGCUAUUGUCCCCAGUCAGAUCAAAGCUGGAAACUUCAUUAGUGGCCCUAGAGAUCAAAGGAACCUCAAAAGCUGAUGCCACUUUUCUUAAGAGCUAUGUCUAAUUAUCUGUUGCUAUGAAUUUUGCUAUGUGCGGAUGUCGAGCCUUUGUGAUGCAACAAAAAAACGAGACCACCUCCUUAGUGUUCUAAGACUGCUUUGUUAUAAAAUUAUGUACUACGUAUUUGGUCAUCCACUGUCCCUGGGCGAGACUGUUUCAUGUAGGUUACUGGAUACCUUUUUUUUCGAAAGAUCCGUUACCGGCUUUCAUUGAUCUAGAAAAGGGCAAGUUACAGUAUGAGUUAGCGGCACAAGGCGCGCCGCUAAUACAAAUUGUUCAGGAACCAAAGAAUGGUCCCAAGCCACCCCUGAAUCUCUAAUAUUGAUUUACAUUAGUAAAAUAAGACAACAAGUAAAAACAAGUUUUCUAAGCGGGAGCCGUCGUUGUCGACCGAUGUUGAAUGAGCUGCACUAGGCCUUUGUUCCUUGCAGUUAUGCAGUUCCGCACUGCAUCAUGGAUGGAGUGUACAAUCUGCUGGACCGUGUUGGCAGUUUUCUUGAAAACCCUGUUGUUCCUUUCCAACCAUAGCUCCCAGAUGGCAAUGACGAUUACCGAACCCACUCCAGGACGAGCAGACUUUGAAGUGUCAGCAAUCAGCGCAACAAACCAGUCUUGCAAGUUUUCCUCUUGAGUCCAGUUUUCAGGCAUCAGGGAGGGAACCUGAAUCCAAAUCCCCACAUGCUUCCAGAUUUCCUUGGCCGUUGGGCAUUCGCAGAAGAGAUGAUGUGCAGUUUCCAAAUUUCUUAGGCAUAAUUGACAGAAAUAUUCGUUUGGCCAUCCCCUGACCUGUAGACGGGCUGCUGUCCAGACUCUAUUUUGUAGCAGUAGCCAAAGGAAGAAUUUGCAUUUAGGAGGCGCCUUGAUCUUCCAUAGCUGCAUUGCAUGCUCGCACUUGGUUUUUGCAAUGAAAUGUGCAGCAUAAGCAGAACUAGCUGAGUAGACGCCAUCAGAUGUGAACACCCAGGUGAUGGUGUCUUCUUGAGAAUCUACGAGCGUUAUGUCUUCCAGCAACUCCCAAAGUUCAAUGUAUUGGACAAUGAUCUGUUGUGUUAAGCUGUGGUCAAUAUCACUGAUCCAUCUAUUGUCAGUGAGCGCUUGCGCCACGGACCUAUUUUUCCUUUUGCUAUGCUUGUACAGCUGCGGAAAGCGUGUAGCCAGAGCUUGACCACUGAGCCAUCUUGAUUUCCAGAAGGAAGCUCUCUUGCCAUUUCCAAGCUGGAUAACUGUGGCAGCAUUGAAAAAUGCACUAUCCUCCUCAGUUACACGAAUUUCUAGGCCUUCCCAAGGUCUUGGUCUUUCUUCCCAACUAAACCAUAACCAUCUGAGCCUAAGUGACCGGCUAAAAUAAUCCAGGUCUUUGAUGCCGAGACCACCAUUAGGCUUAGGUGUACAGACUCUUGGCCAUGCCACCUUACAUUUUCCACCGGUGAGCUCCCCAUCACCAGCCCAUAGGAAUUUCUUUCUCAUUUUAUCAAUUUCCUUCAAGAAUUGUUUUGGCGCCUUGAUAACAGUUAGUAGAUACACUGGCAGCGAGCUGAGCACUGAUUUCACCAGCUCCCGCCGGCCCGCAAUAUUGACAAGCUUCCCUUGCCAUCCAGCUAGCUUGCUCUUUGCUCUAUCUUGUAUGUAUUGCAAGUGUACCAACCUCGUUCGCCCAAUAGUGAGAGGUAGACCCAGGUAUUGGAUGGGGAAGGAUACUCUACUUCCUGUGAAGUCACAGAGUAUUUUAUCCAUGUUCAAGUCAGCACACCUGAUAGUAGCCACUGAGCUUUUUGCCAUGUUUAUGUUCAGGCCAGUAGCUUCUCCGAACGCCUUCAUUGUCCUCAUGAUGCAGGCAAUAUCUUCCUUAACUGGGUUGGUGAAAAUCAUGACAUCAUCCGCGUAUAGCGAGAGGCGAAGCCUGGCUUGUCGUCCUUUUAGUGGUGAUAAGUGUCCUUCCUCAGUGGCAAUAUCAAAGAUCCUGCUCAGAGCAUCCAUCGCCAAGAUGAAUAAGUAAGGUGACAGCGGGUCGCCCUGUCUUAACCCCCGCGCAUGCAUCAGCUUUGGACCUGCGCUCCCAUUUAGCAUAACUCUUGAUGAUGAGAAUCUGAGCAUUGCUGUUAACCAGUUCGUCCACCUUGUACUGGGAUACCUUUUAUAUAUGCCUCAUGUAAUACAUAUGUAGUGUAUGAAAAUCUUGUGUGUCAUCUUCAUUAUUUGUCAACG
This 2342-nucleotide long non-coding RNA is filed under the name Sorghum bicolor (sorghum). Its description in RNAcentral is "long non-coding RNA (SBIC_LNC003466)". Lineage: Eukaryota; Viridiplantae; Streptophyta; Magnoliopsida; Poales; Poaceae. The record is from RNAcentral.